CAUAUCAACUUUCGAUGCCAUUGUAUGCGCCUACAAUGGUUACCACGGGUAACGGGGAAUCAGGGUUUGAUUCCA
Molecule: non-coding RNA, 75 nt
Organism: Pelobates cultripes (western spadefoot toad)
Lineage: Eukaryota; Metazoa; Chordata; Amphibia; Anura; Pelobatidae
Source: the annotation of a GenBank genome assembly